This 253-nucleotide ribosomal RNA is filed under the name uncultured bacterium. RNAcentral describes it as "partial 16S ribosomal RNA". It matches the Rfam family "Bacterial small subunit ribosomal RNA", at positions 524 to 776 of the family's 1533-position model. The record is from RNAcentral.
UACGUAGGGCGCAAGCGUUGUCCGGAAUUAUUGGGCGUAAAGAGCUCGUAGGCGGCCAGUUGCGUCCGCUGUGAAAUCCUGGGGCUUAACCCCGGGCGUGCAGUGGAUACGGGCUGGCUAGAGGCAGGCAGGGGAGAACGGAAUUCCCGGUGUAGCGGUGAAAUGCGCAGAUAUCAGGAGGAACACCCGUAGCGAAGGCGGCACUCUGGGCCGAUUCUGACACUGAGGAGCGAAAGCGUGGGGAGCGAACAGG